AUCACUAAGCGGAGGAAAAGAAACUAACUAGGAUUGCCUUAGUAACGGCGAGUGAACCGGCAACAGCCCAAGUUGAAAAUCUGCGCUUUGCGCCGAAUUGUAAUCUAUGGAGUCUUGCCUUACCUGUUGGUUGUAUGCGUAACUCGGAAGGAAAGCCGGGCCGUAGAGGGUGUUAGCCCCGUACCGCGUGCGACCUUGGAUAGGCUGGUCUUUAAGAGUCGGGUAGCUUGGGAUUGCUGCCCUAAGUAGGAGGUAGGCUUCUUCUAAGGCUAAAUACUUGCGAGAGACCGAUAGCGAACAAGUACCGUGAGGGAAAGAUGAAAAGAACUUUGAAAAGAGGGUUAAAAGACUUGAAAUCGUUGAGGAGGAAGCAGUAGGUAGAUAUCAGCGCAACAGUGUAACCAUCUUUACGAAGCUGGGGGAGCUGCGCGCGAGGCAACGUCAUGGGGAUUCGCUGCGUAGUGUUCUCUUUGAGUUCGCGAUCUAGCGAUGAAAACGUGACUUUGUGCGUCUGCCUACUGGCCCGUCUUGAAACACGGACCAAGGAGUCUAACAUGUAUGCGAGUAGAGGAGCGACAAACUCCACUGCGUAACGAAAGUAAUCCUUGCCAAAUUUGCAGCGAGGGCCUCGUCAGAGAGCUCAGCAUGUAUGUUGGGACCCGAAAGAUGGUGAACUAUGCUUGGGGAAGGCGAAGCCAGGGGAAACUCUGGUGGAGGCUUGUAGGGAUACUGACGUGCAAAUCGUUCUUCUAACCUGAGUAUAGGGGCGAAAGACUAAUCGAACCAUCUAGUAGCUGGUUCCCUCCGAAAUUUCCCUCAGGAUAGCUGAAACAUAUAGCAGUUUUAUCGGGUAAAGCGAAUGAUUAGAGGUUCGGGAGUCUAAAAGAUUUUCACCUAUUCUCAAACUUUAAAUUGGUAAGAUAGUUUUCGUUACUUAAGUGAACGAAUUCUUCGAAUGCUUGUUUCUAGUGGGCCAUUUUUGGUAAGCAGAACUGGCGAUGAGGGAUGAACCUAACGUGAAGUUAAGGCGACUAAUUGGUUGCUCAUCAGAUCCCACAAAAGGUGUUAGUUCAUUUAGACAGUAGGACGGUGGCCAUGGAAGUCGGAACCCGCUAAGGAGUGUGUAACAACUCACCUACCGAAUGAACUAGCCCUGAAAAUGGAUGUCGCUAAGCAGCCAGCCGAUACUUCGCUGUUUGUCUAUGCGAAAGAUAAACAAGUAGGAGGGCGUGAGGACCGCUUGGAAGCAUAGGCGUGAGCCUGUGUGGAGCGAUUCUUAGUGCAGAUCUUGGUGGCAGUAGCAAAUAUUCAAAUGAGAACUUUGAAGACUGAAGUGGAGAAGGGUUUCAUGAGAACAGCAAUUGGUCAUGAGUAACUCGGUCCUAAGGCCCUGGGUAGUCCUAUCAAGCCGAAAGGCAGGCCAAAAGGGAAUGUGGUUAAAAUUCCACAAGCAGGCGGUGGAUAUUGUGUGGUAACACAACUGAACUCAAAAACGUCGGAGUGAAGUCCCAGCAAGAGUUCUCUUUUCUUGUUAACAGUUUCGCUGCCCUGGAGGUCUUUGCGACGAGAGAGGGCUAUCGAGCUGGAAGAGCAGUGCACCCUUUGUACUGUCUGGUGAGCUUCCUUCGGCCCUUGAAAAUUUGAGGGAACUUUGUAUCGCACGCCUGGCCGUACCGAAACCGC
RNAcentral lists this ribosomal RNA (1683 nucleotides) under Peritromus kahli. Its description in RNAcentral is "partial large subunit ribosomal RNA". It matches the Rfam family "Eukaryotic large subunit ribosomal RNA", at positions 42 to 1857 of the family's 3401-position model. Lineage: Eukaryota; Ciliophora; Heterotrichea; Heterotrichida; Peritromidae. The record is from RNAcentral.